This 253-nucleotide ribosomal RNA is filed under the name uncultured bacterium. RNAcentral describes it as "partial 16S ribosomal RNA". It matches the Rfam family "Bacterial small subunit ribosomal RNA", at positions 524 to 776 of the family's 1533-position model. The record is from RNAcentral.
UACGGAGGGUGCAAGCGUUAUCCGGAUUCACUGGGUUUAAAGGGUGCGUAGGCGGGCUGGUAAGUCAGUGGUGAAAUCUCCAGGCUUAACUUGGAAACUGCCAUUGAUACUAUCAGUCUUGAAUACCGUGGAGGUCAGCGGAAUAUGUCAUGUAGCGGUGAAAUGCUUAGAUAUGACAUAGAACACCAAUUGCGAAGGCAGCUGGCUAGACUAAAAUUGACACUGAUGCACGAAAGCGUGGGGAUCAAACAGG